Molecule: long non-coding RNA, 947 nt
Organism: Cebus imitator (Panamanian white-faced capuchin)
Lineage: Eukaryota; Metazoa; Chordata; Mammalia; Primates; Cebidae
Exons: 2
Source: RefSeq, a predicted model, not a curated record
UGCUGGGAUUACAGGCUUGAGCCACCGCGCCUGGCCGGAUUCUCACUUUUAUCUGCCCCACAACUGGUUGAAGCAUGAGCAUGACCCAGUUUUAGCCAGAAAGAUAGGAGCUUUGUUCUGCUGACCACUAGCAGAGGGUUCCCUUCUUCAUGGAUAUGGUUGAUCUCACAUGGCACUUCUGAUUGAUUUGUCCGGGCUCUAAGACAUCUAAUCUGAAAUUGGCUGCCUCAUAUUCUGGUUUUGCAACAAAUGCCUUAAUUUUUAGACUACCAUAAAUCUUGGGGAUUCUGUUCGCUAUGUGGGUUAGGUUUAGAACAGAAUUGGGCUAAGCCAGUAUGAAGGGAUGAACAGCUUUUGUGAGAGCUCCAACUAUUUGUAUCUCUGAGGUGAUAGUAGGAUGGCAAAGAAUAUCUCUUGUUCUACUGUCAGCCUAACUUGCUUUGCUGCUUAAGGAAAGAAUGCCAGUCUUUGCAGACCUAAUCUUUUGGUCUGUAUGUCAGGAUUUUUGCGUAAUUGAGGUCACCCUAAGCAGUGGGCAUUUGUUGUGAUAAUCUCUGCUGUAUCUGGGAGCAACGUGAAUUAGGUCCCUUUUCCCCAGAAGAUAUUUCUUAUUCUCAAGGCUUCUUAAGGAGAAUUUGAACUCAUGGGACCUGUCAAGGUCUCUGAAAUCUGUUUUUCAGUAGGAAGUUGACACUGGCUGUCCUCCAAAAGGCCCAGGUAGGAAUCAUAAUUGGUGCAGAGACCCAAAUUAUUAAGGGGAUGGGAAAACUGCAGCAAACCGUAAGGAAUAUGACCCUUCUAAAGGUACAUCCACAUGUGUUUCCAUUACUCUGGCUCUACUAUGAGGGUUUACAGAAAUAUUCCCAUACCUGUGUCUCUUAUGGCUAAGAUUACUGUCCAGAAGUCAGUCUAAACAUUUUUGCAAUAAACUGCACAUAUUUACAGUG